Molecule: long non-coding RNA, 594 nt
Filed under: Carica papaya (papaya)
Lineage: Eukaryota; Viridiplantae; Streptophyta; Magnoliopsida; Brassicales; Caricaceae
Description: long non-coding RNA (CPAP_LNC007382)
Source: RNAcentral
UUCUUGGCCAUGAACCUUGAUAAGCUCUUAUGAUAGAGUUGAUCCAAUGGUUUUCUCACAUUUCUUGCCUGAACCUUAAUAAGCUCUUAUGAUAGAGUUGAUCCAAUGGCUUUCUCACAUUUCUCGCUCCAUAGUUGCGAACAACAAGAAUUGAUUAACUGGGAAUUGAUUCAUUGGGAAUUCUUGUCCCCUGUAGAUGCCUCUCUUGGGUGAACACUGAUUAGCUGGUUUGAUUGUUUUCUUAAAUUUAGGCUCGAAGAAAAGCUCCAUUUAGAUGAGGUGAAUGAUGUUGUGGGGGAUUGAGAUUCAAAGCCUGGGUUUAUUAUAAGAAAUUCUCCGUGUAAAAGGCGCAAUCGCCUAUCCUUUAACUCGUAGUUUCAUGUUCAUGUUUAGCCAAGCUUUUUGUGGUUCUUCUAUUUGGUAAUUUAAUCUUAUAUAUUCAAUAAGUUGUGUGUUUGAAAUCUUUAAAUACUGUGUGUUUUAUUGGAAGCUAUAAACAUCAAGAUUUACACCUUACUUGGGCACAAAUUAGAGAAAUAGCUUGAAUGACUAAUAUACUUCAUUGAAACCAUGAAUAUUUUCUGUAUACACUUU